ACUCUGGUAUUGAUUGGUGCUUGCAUCAUGAUUUACAUUUGAGUGAGUGGCGAACUGGUGAGUAACACGUGGGAAACCUGCCCAGAAGCGGGGGAUAACACCUGGAAACAGAUGCUAAUACCGCAUAACAACUUGGACCGCAUGGUCCGAGCUUGAAAGAUGGCUUCGGCUAUCACUUUUGGAUGGUCCCGCGGCGUAUUAGCUAGAUGGUGGGGUAACGGCUCACCAUGGCAAUGAUACGUAGCCGACCUGAGAGGGUAAUCGGCCACAUUGGGACUGAGACACGGCCCAAACUCCUACGGGAGGCAGCAGUAGGGAAUCUUCCACAAUGGACGAAAGUCUGAUGGAGCAACGCCGCGUGAGUGAAGAAGGGUUUCGGCUCGUAAAACUCUGUUGUUAAAGAAGAACAUAUCUGAGAGUAACUGUUCAGGUAUUGACGGUAUUUAACCAGAAAGCCACGGCUAACUACGUGCCAGCAGCCGCGGUAAUACGUAGGUGGCAAGCGUUGUCCGGAUUUAUUGGGCGUAAAGCGAGCGCAGGCGGUUUUUUAAGUCUGAUGUGAAAGCCUUCGGCUCAACCGAAGAAGUGCAUCGGAAACUGGGAAACUUGAGUGCAGAAGAGGACAGUGGAACUCCAUGUGUAGCGGUGAAAUGCGUAGAUAUAUGGAAGAACACCAGUGGCGAAGGCGGCUGUCUGGUCUGUAACUGACGCUGAGGCUCGAAAGUAUGGGUAGCAAACAGGAUUAGAUACCCUGGUAGUCCAUACCGUAAACGAUGAAUGCUAAGUGUUGGAGGGUUUCCGCCCUUCAGUGCUGCAGCUAACGCAUUAAGCAUUCCGCCUGGGGAGUACGGCCGCAAGGCUGAAACUCAAAGGAAUUGACGGGGGCCCGCACAAGCGGUGGAGCAUGUGGUUUAAUUCGAAGCUACGCGAAGAACCUUACCAGGUCUUGACAUACUAUGCAAAUCUAAGAGAUUAGACGUUCCCUUCGGGGACAUGGAUACAGGUGGUGCAUGGUUGUCGUCAGCUCGUGUCGUGAGAUGUUGGGUUAAGUCCCGCAACGAGCGCAACCCUUAUUAUCAGUUGCCAGCAUUAAGUUGGGCACUCUGGUGAGACUGCCGGUGACAAACCGGAGGAAGGUGGGGAUGACGUCAAAUCAUCAUGCCCCUUAUGACCUGGGCUACACACGUGCUACAAUGGAUGGUACAACGAGUUGCGAACUCGCGAGAGUAAGCUAAUCUCUUAAAGCCAUUCUCAGUUCGGAUUGUAGGCUGCAACUCGCCUACAUGAAGUCGGAAUCGCUAGUAAUCGCGGAUCAGCAUGCCGCGGUGAAUACGUUCCCGGGCCUUGUACACACCGCCCGUCACACCAUGAGAGUUUGUAACACCCAAAGUCGGUGGGGUAACCUUUUAGGAACCAGCCGCCUAAGGUGGACAG
This 1434-nucleotide ribosomal RNA is filed under the name Lactiplantibacillus plantarum. RNAcentral's name for it is "bacterial SSU rRNA". It matches the Rfam family "Bacterial small subunit ribosomal RNA". Lineage: Bacteria; Bacillati; Bacillota; Bacilli; Lactobacillales; Lactobacillaceae. The record is from RNAcentral.